CCUAAGGGGGGCUGCAGUGGGGAAUAUUGGACAAUGGGCGAAAGCCUGAUCCAGCCAUGCCGCGUGUGUGAAGAAGGCCUUCGGGUUGUAAAGCACUUUCAGUGGGGAAGAAAGCCUUGGGGCUAAUACCCUCGAGGAAGGACAUCACCCACAGAAGAAGCACCGGCUAACUCCGUGCCAGCAGCCGCGGUAAUACGGAGGGUGCGAGCGUUAAUCGGAAUUACUGGGCGUAAAGCGCGCGUAGGCGGUCUGAUAAGCCGGUUGUGAAAGCCCCGGGCUCAACCUGGGAACGGCAUCCGGAACUGUCAGGCUAGAGUGCAGGAGAGGAAGGUAGAAUUCCCGGUGUAGCGGUGAAAUGCGUAGAGAUCGGGAGGAAUACCAGUGGCCAAGGCGGCCUUCUGGACUGACACUGACGCUGAGGUGCGAAAGCGUGGGUAGCAAACAGGAUUAGAUACCCCUGUAGUC
RNAcentral lists this ribosomal RNA (465 nucleotides) under Vreelandella stevensii. Its description in RNAcentral is "partial 16S ribosomal RNA". It matches the Rfam family "Bacterial small subunit ribosomal RNA", at positions 338 to 795 of the family's 1533-position model. Lineage: Bacteria; Pseudomonadati; Pseudomonadota; Gammaproteobacteria; Oceanospirillales; Halomonadaceae. The record is from RNAcentral.